AAACAGAUGCUAAUACCGCAUAACAACUUGGACCGCAUGGUCCGAGCUUGAAAGAUGGCUUCGGCUAUCACUUUUGGAUGGUCCCGCGGCGUAUUAGCUAGAUGGUGGGGUAACGGCUCACCAUGGCAAUGAUACGUAGCCGACCUGAGAGGGUAAUCGGCCACAUUGGGACUGAGACACGGCCCAAACUCCUACGGGAGGCAGCAGUAGGGAAUCUUCCACAAUGGACGAAAGUCUGAUGGAGCAACGCCGCGUGAGUGAAGAAGGGUUUCGGCUCGUAAAACUCUGUUGUUAAAGAAGAACAUAUCUGAGAGUAACUGUUCAGGUAUUGACGGUAUUUAACCAGAAAGCCACGGCUAACUACGUGCCAGCAGCCGCGGUAAUACGUAGGUGGCAAGCGUUGUCCGGAUUUAUUGGGCGUAAAGCGAGCGCAGGCGGUUUUUUAAGUCUGAUGUGAAAGCCUUCGGCUCAACCGAAGAAGUGCAUCGGAAACUGGGAAA
RNAcentral lists this ribosomal RNA (500 nucleotides) under Lactiplantibacillus plantarum. RNAcentral describes it as "bacterial SSU rRNA". It matches the Rfam family "Bacterial small subunit ribosomal RNA", at positions 154 to 640 of the family's 1533-position model. Lineage: Bacteria; Bacillati; Bacillota; Bacilli; Lactobacillales; Lactobacillaceae. The record is from RNAcentral.